This is a long non-coding RNA of Acipenser ruthenus (sterlet), 1902 nucleotides long. RefSeq lists it as uncharacterized. Lineage: Eukaryota; Metazoa; Chordata; Actinopteri; Acipenseriformes; Acipenseridae. The record is from RefSeq and is a predicted model, not a curated record. The transcript is spliced from 2 exons.
UGUCUUUUAUUAUUAUUAUUAUUAUUAUUAUUAUUAUUAUUAAUAAUAAUAAUACCACCAUUACUAUUAAUUAAUCUGUUGGUUUGCAUAGUUGCGUGGGCACCUCCCAGAAUUGUGGGGUCUUGUUCUGCCCUUAUCUUUCCACCACAGUUGACAAAAAAAAGGUUGUACCGGUUUAGUUUUGCUUUACUGGGAUGAACUGGCAUUUGGUGGGGCUUACUGGUGCGGAGUUUGGUGUGUCUUUGUUCCAAGCCUUUAUUUCCCCGCAGUGAAAAUAUCUGUGUCCCCUUGUACAUGCAUUUAUUUAUUUCAUACGUGCGACGAAAGCGAACUGAAGCUAACUCACAAGUGGAACAAAGUUCAGAAAACAAGGACUAAAGUUUGUAUUGUUUUUUUUGUAUUGAAACUCGUGCUGUACAUUUCUGUGUUGGUUUUUGCUACUAUAUAAAGAUGCCUGGCGUAUUAACUCUGUUCCAAAGAGGCUGCUAAGGUUACCAGAGUGUAUUAUAUAAACAGGGCCCUUGUGUAUCACUGUACUAUCGCUGUGGCAAUCCUCUGCUUGCUUUAGCUUUUUGGAAAAUGAAACACAGUAGCUUUAUCCAGCUCACUGACUUUAAUCCAGAGAAGCUGGUACUGUGGCUCCUUUAACUGUAAUUAAAACUGGGGAGUGACAAUGCCAGCAACAGCUAAACUUGACUUCUCAUGACGUCUCAGAACAUUAUUAUAAAGCUGCUACUGCUUUCAGCUCUAGUUUGGAUGCAGCGUUUCUGAGCACUGUGAAAGAAGUGACUGUGUGAUUUGAGAUACUGGCUGCAUUAGUGCAACCUUCAAAAAGCUCAAUCUGAAUUCUGCAUUAGAUAAUUGUAUAAUGCUAGCAUUGUGUAGUGUUUGUAUGUGUGUACGAGAGAGAGAGAGAGAGAGAGAGAGAGAGAGAGAGAGAGAGAGAGAGAGAGACGUUCAUUUUAAGUUGAGAGGUAAUCUUGUUAGGGAAUUGGAAAUAAGAAAGGGGAUUUAUAGCCUGUCUCAAUUUGAUUUCAGAACAGGUCUUGCUUUCCCCUGCAAGCACCACAGCAUUGCUCCAGUCCUCCACGUCACGCUCUGUACGAUACAGAUGUAAUCUUGAGCAGAUCUGAGAGCUCAGAGGAAUGAAACAAGACACUUGAAUGCGCGUGAUGUUUUAACCGAUUAGAAACCAGGGAGAGCGGUCUAGGAAGUGCGAAUGAUCCUCGCAGAGUUCUGGGUAUUUAAUUUUGCAGUUGGGUGCUGUCCUACAUAACAAGUUUACUGCUCUGUGUUUACAUUUCUUUCCACACAGCUGAAGAAGGGUAUGGUAAAGCAUAUUAAAAAAAACUGUAUCCCACAGUAAAAGCACAGUGACAGCAUGGUAAAGCAUAGGGAAGCAUUGUAAAGCAGAGAGGUCUGGUAAAGCAUAGGGAAGCAUUGUAAAGCACAGAGAGGUCUGGUAAAGCAUAGGGAAGCAUUGUAAAGCAGAGAGGUCUGGUAAAGCAUAGGGAAGCAUUGUAAAGCACAGAGAGGUCUGGUAAAGCAUAGGGAAGCAUUGUAAAGCAGAGAGGUCUGGUAAAGCAUAGGGAAGCAUUGUAAAGCACAGAGAGGUCUGGUAAAGCAUAGGGAAGCAUUGUAAAGCACAGAGAGGGAUGGUAAAGCAUACAGAUGCAUUGUAAAGCACAGAGAGGUAUGUUAAAGCAUAGGGAAGCAUUGUAAAGCACAGAGAGGUCUGGUAAAGCAUAGGGAAGCAUUGUAGUAAAUCACAGCUAAAGUGUACUGCCGCCCAGCCCCCAGCAUCAAAGAGACGAAGCCAGACCUGCUUUCAAUUUACUUCUUGGCCAGAAUUUCACUUUCGGAUCUCCGGAAAAAAAAAAAAAAAAAAAGGAGAGAGCACAA